ACAACAACAACAACAACAACAACAACUUAUUUAUACCCCACCCAUCUGGCUGGAUUCACCCAGCCACUCUGGACGGCUUCCAACAAAAUAUUAAAAUACAUAAAUCCAUCACACAUUAAAAGCUUCCCUAAACAGAAGUGGUUGGGAACGGUUCCUUCACUAAAUUGCCUUCCUGACUCUGCUAAUUUAGUGGGGUGUGGUAUUGCUAUAUUGCUCUGUAGCUGUUGUGAGUAGUUCCAGCUCUCUGUUAUGCUGUGUGUUUGCAGUGAGAGCUGUUUGUAACUUUCACACAGCCUAUGUAUAUAUUCUGUAAAUACGCAUUAGCUUGAAGUAAUAAAAGAGGAUUAAAAACCUCUACCACUGUAUCCAUCGUUUAUUGGAGCAGAAGUUGGUGCUCACAAUAUAUCCACUUGUGGGUCCAUGGUAGCAGAGGCGGAUUUAAGCUGAAGGAGUUCCAGUCAUCCUGUUAGCCCAGUCGGGGCAGAAGAGGGACUUUAUCUACCAUCUUUGCAGAAACUACAACUCGGCACCUCUCAUGGCGUGGCAUCACAGAAAGGUUUAAGGGAACCUGUUGUUCUGCCAGAUCGCUCUGGAACCCGCCUCUGGGCAUGGACCUUAUAUAUGAUCCAGUGGCAACCGAUCACCAUUCAAGAGGGAGUCUGGAGUCUGUUCGCAUUUCCUCCACUUCCUUGGCUCACGUGAAAGUUCUCUUGACGGGUCAACAUGUCAGGCGGCCAGACUGAACUGGAGUGUGCCUUUUCUAACAUAAUCGACGUUUACAAUAGGUAUUCAGUAAAAAUUGAGAGAACGGGCAUGAGUGAGAUUGCAAUGUAAAGGACCAGCUUCCAGACAUGCCAAUGGAGAAUGUUCCAUAGGGUGGGUGCCACCACCGAAAAGGCCCUCUCUGUAAGGUCACUUCUCGCAUUGAGGGAACCACUACCGGUAGAAGGCCCUCAGACCUGGACCUGUCUGAAACCGGGAGGUGGAGAUGCUCUUCAAGUAUACAGGAUGCAGUUCCAACCUUCAGCUCCACGUACACUCCUGGGGCAUCAAUUGGGAACAGCUGUUGACCUUGAGCCCUCUGGAACCCGCCUCUGAGCAUGGAGCUUAUAUAUGAUCCAGUGGGAACUGAUCGCCAUUCAAGAGGGAGUCUGGAGUCUGUUCCCAUUUCCUCCACAUCCUUGACUCACCUGAAAGUUCUAUUGACGGGUCAACAUGUCAGGCAGCCAGACUGAACUGGAGCGUGCCUUUUAUACCAUAUUCGACAUUUUCAAUAGGUAUUCAGUAAAAAUUGAGAGAAUGGGCAUGAGUGAGAUUGCAAUGCUUCAACCUAAGGAACCCCGUGUGCUGAGUGAGAACGGACUGCGUCAACUGGUAAAGGACCAGCUUCCAGACAUGCCAAUGGCCACUUCUGUCAUUGAUGAGGUUUUAAAAGGAAAUGGUGAUGGCCAGGUCACCUUCGAUGAGUUCGUGGAAAUUUUAGGCAGAGUUCUUGUCGCGAGCCAUAACAACCCCACACCAUGAAACACCAACCUGGAGGUGAAGAAUUCAUCAACUCUGUCUCUAAAGCUCAUGUCCUCCUGAGACAAUAAAGAUUUGAUUCAAUAUCCAUCACAGUUUUGUGGAGUGUUUUUCAGAAGCACAGUAACAGAAUCUUAGCUGGAGGAUAAACUGCAGGUCAGGGACAUCUCCCUUGGGGAUAAGAGGAUGCCAGUAGGAUAAAUGAGAAGCACCAGGGCACCUAUUAGAAGUGGCAGAAAGACUUCAGGAAGAAAAUAGAAAUCUUGUUUAAAGACCAACACAACAUACUAUUUCUCUUUGUCGGAAGGAAGAAACUGGUUCUGGGUGAGGGUGGGGAGCUGGAAUUUUGGAUGAAGAGGAAUAGAGGGUCAGUUGAAAGGAAGACAGGGAAAUUGUAGAGCAGCUGGAUAAAUUAUUAGGAUCAGUCCAUUUUAAAUUGUCAUAAUUUCCCCCCAAAGAAUCCUGGGAACUGUAGUAUUGAUGAUGAGAGUUGUUUGGAGACCCAUACUUCCUGUCACAGAGCCAUAAUUUCCAGAGUCCCUUAGAAAAAAACAUUGAUUGUUUAAUGAUGAUGAUGAUGAUGAUAUAUUAAAUAUAUUACUUGUACUCCAUCCAUCUGCAUGGAUUGCCCAGCCAUUCUGGGCAGCUUCCAACAGAGUAGAAAAGAACACAACGAAACAUCAGACAUUAAAAGCUUCCUGAUACUGGGCUUCCUUAGACGUCUACGGAAAGUCAUAUAAUUCUUGAUCUAUUUGAUAACUGACAGUGACAAAUGGUCGCUAUUUUUUGUGUUGAAUAUAUUCUGUAUGAUAAUUUAUGGACCUAAUAGGUAUCUAAAGCCAUUUACACAUGCAGAAUGUAGGCACCCUAUAUAUAGAAAUGAGCAAACCAGUGAUAUUUUAGGGAGCAGGCUAGCAGGCGGGGCCCAUGACUUACACCAUAAGCGCCUACACAACACAAAACACUGUUGCUGUAUGUAGGUUUGAUUUUAUUUUUAUCUUAUAUUUUGAAAUGUACAUCCAGUUUUUCCCCUUUAAUUUUUUUGAGGGCCCCCAAGAGCUAUAGCUUGUUUAGCUUAUAUGUAGAUCUGGUACUGAUCACACUCCUUGGAGGUCAGAUCUCAUCGGUGGCCACCUCUGCAGAGACCUCUUGGCACUGCUAGUCUCCCCCUUCGGGAGGAAAUAGGGAGGACCUGCCCUCUGGGGUCUCCCAGGGUCUGCAUUCGGCCAGCACAAUUCAGAGCGGCUCCUUUUCCUUCCACAACAGCUUCUGAUUCCCACUUUAACUGUUGGUUAAGGU
Zootoca vivipara (common lizard) is the source of this 2820-nucleotide long non-coding RNA. RefSeq lists it as uncharacterized. The record is from RefSeq and is a predicted model, not a curated record. Lineage: Eukaryota; Metazoa; Chordata; Lepidosauria; Squamata; Lacertidae.